UGAGCUGGAGCUCACUCUGGCCUCACCCCACCGCAGCACCUGCCUCAUUCCUGCCCAGCCGGUGGCAUUAAACAUUUAUGGAGCUGUGGAGGAUCAAAGGCCUCGGCUGGGGGUGGUGGGCAGGCUGGAGGCCUCUGUUUGGAGAUGGAAAGUAGCUCACAUCAAACCACUUUCUGCUGCUGUCUCCAUCUACCCUGAGCUCUUCCUGCAGUCAAUCCUGGAGCAAGAGCAAAUGCCUGGAGCCAGGACUCUCCAUUUAUCAGAGCAGGGCCCUCCUCCUGCCCCUAAAUUCAAUGGGUUGACUUUGGGUAAUGCAGGGAGCCCUGGCUGGAGCACUGGCAUCCCUGACUGUUCCAGGAGCUGCAAGGUCUGGAAUCCUGCUCCAUGAAGUGGGUUGAGAAAGCAAGUGUCAUCUCAGCAGAGACUUCAAAAUAAGUCACCAAUGUGCCUGUGAUCCUACAGAUUGAUGGGCUGUUUGGAACUGGGGAAGUAAAGCUGGCUUCUCCAGCUUCAAUGG
This is a long non-coding RNA of Homo sapiens (human), 517 nucleotides long. The record is from Ensembl. Lineage: Eukaryota; Metazoa; Chordata; Mammalia; Primates; Hominidae.